GGAGGGUGCAAGCGUUAAUCGGAAUUACUGGGCGUAAAGGGCGCGUAGGCGGACGCGUAAGUCAGAUGUGAAAGCCCUGGGCUUAACCUGGGAAUUGCAUAUGAAACUGCGAGUCUAGAGUGAAGUAGAGGGUGGCGGAAUUUCCGGUGUAGCGGUGAAAUGCGUAGAUAUCGGAAGGAACACCAGUGGCGAAGGCGGCCACCUGGACUUUUACUGAUGCUGAGGCGCGAAAGCGUGGGUAGCGAACAGGAUUAGAUACCCUGGUAGUCCACGCUGUAAACGAUGAGGACUAGCUGUUGGUGGCGAUUGAGCUGUCAGUAGCGCAGCAAACGCGUUAAGUUCUCCGCCUGGGGAGUACGGCCGCAAGGCU
RNAcentral lists this ribosomal RNA (370 nucleotides) under uncultured organism. RNAcentral describes it as "partial 16S ribosomal RNA". It matches the Rfam family "Bacterial small subunit ribosomal RNA", at positions 527 to 895 of the family's 1533-position model. The record is from RNAcentral.